This 254-nucleotide ribosomal RNA is filed under the name uncultured bacterium. RNAcentral's name for it is "partial 16S ribosomal RNA". It matches the Rfam family "Bacterial small subunit ribosomal RNA", at positions 524 to 776 of the family's 1533-position model. The record is from RNAcentral.
UACGGGGGGAGCAAGCGUUGUUCGGAUUUACUGGGCGUAAAGGGCGCGUAGGCGGCCAGCGCAAGUCAGUUGUGAAAUCUCCGGGCUUAACUCGGAAAGGUCAACUGAUACUGCGCGGCUAGAGUGCAGAAGGGGCAACUGGAAUUCUCGGUGUAGCGGUGAAAUGCGUAGAUAUCGAGAGGAACACCUGCGGCGAAGGCGGGUUGCUGGGCUGACACUGACGUUGAGACACGAAAGCGUGGGGAGCAAACAGG